UUUGUUUUUACACAUGAAAAACUAUUUCUAAUCUCUAAUUUUACAUUAAAUGUAUGCAUUUUUCUUUGUUAAUUAUCUUUUGUUUGUGUUUGUUAAGACACGAAAUAAAGAGCCAAGCGAUACAAAGAAUCGUAUGAGUGGCUUUUAUUGUUCGCUGUUCAUCGCACGCUUACACAAGGACAUGUGUGUUUCGCUCUGGAUUCAAUUUGUAUAUUCAUUCUCGGUAUUGACCCAAUGCUUGCAUAUUUAAUGAAGAGCAUAGAACUGUCUUACACGGCACUGUUUACCUGAAUAUCGGUGAACGACCGACAUUAAAUUGGCAAACAUGUGUAUCUGAAAACGAAUCAACUGUUUUACUUCUACUCUCAUGUGCGAAAAACAACAAAACAUCCCGCAUAUCUUUAUCAUUUAUUUGACUAUAAAAUUCCAUAUAGAUGACGUUGUUUAUCAUUUAAUAAAAAUUAAUAAUUGGUCACAAAAAUUGUAUGCACA
Molecule: long non-coding RNA, 492 nt
Organism: Contarinia nasturtii (swede midge)
Lineage: Eukaryota; Metazoa; Arthropoda; Insecta; Diptera; Cecidomyiidae
Exons: 3
Source: RefSeq, a predicted model, not a curated record